Molecule: ribosomal RNA, 407 nt
Filed under: uncultured bacterium
Lineage: Bacteria
Description: partial 16S ribosomal RNA
Rfam family: Bacterial small subunit ribosomal RNA
Source: RNAcentral
GACGAACGCUGGCGGCGCGCUUAACACAUGCAAGUCGAGCGAAGCGGCGGACGGGUGAGUAACACGUGAGUAACCUGCCUUAGACAAUGGGAUAGCCUCGGGAAACCGGGAUUAAUACCAAAUGGUCUAAGAUGGACUCGCGUCCCAUUAGCGAGUUGGUGGGGUAACGGCCCACCAAGGCGACGAUGGGUAGCCGGCCUUAGAGGGUGAACGGCCACGUUGGAACCGAGAUACGGCCCAGACUCUACGGGAGGCAGCAGUGGGGGAUAUUGCACAAUGGGCGAAAGCCUGAUGCAGCGACGCCGCGUGGGGGAUGAAGGCUUUCGGGUUGUAAACCUCUUUCGCGAUCGAACGGGUAGCUUGAGAAGAAGCGCCGGCUAACUACGUGCCAGCAGCCGCGGUAAUAC